GAGUGUGAGAGCGAGAACAGCCCCGCAGGUCCCGAGGCGCUGGCUGGGGACAAUGCCGCGGAAAGUUCCCAGUCCCCAGCCGCAGAUCUGCAGAAUUGAAAUGAAAUGUUUUGAGCUCUUCAAGCUGACUCGUCAGAAUCCUGGAGCCUUUUAAAAAAUGACGAAUUGGAAGGAAAAAUUACUUUAUCAAUAACCAGGCUCCACCAGGAUUGACCUAGAUGGUUGUUCCUGGCACUUGUCAUUCUCAGCAAGCACAGCUCAGAGAACAAAUACAAAAGACCCAAAGUGCAUUGCAUCUUUUAUGGAAGUGCCCAAUGUGGAAAUCAUAGAUUUCAAGGAAGGAACAAGAAAAUUGAUGAAACAAGUUCAAAAGAAAGGUACCUGUGCCUCAUCAUUCCUAAAGAACACUGAUCAAUGAUCCCAGAAGUAUGCCAUGUUCUCUUAAUUCAUCAGAGACUGAAAGCAAAGGAAAAUCAAGAAAUCUUGGCCAAUUUGAUGUCAAUGGAAAUGCGUGAGAUUUUUAUUCAGCAUUCACACCUGAGCAAUGCUUUUGGUCAUGAUGUCAUACUAAGAAGAAACCACCUGAGAUGAGACUGUUAGAUGUUCAGAGCAAACAAAAACAAAAACAGACCAACAAAAAAAACCCAAAACAAAACAGAAGUUUCUGAAGGACAGCAGAAAUGGCUUUGCAGGACCACAACAACCACUCCCAGUCAUGAUGGAGAGAAGUGUUCAAUACCCACAGAUCCUGAACGUUGAGCUGAUUAUACUAACUAGAUGGGACUUAGUUUUGUCUACCGUGGGGUGAGCGUAUACUACCUGAGGGAACAGGUUCUCUAUGGUGAAGAUGGCAACUUGCUGACUCAGUCUCAGAAUGCGUUAAAUCCACAUAUUCUGGCAAGUGGAGUUCUGCUUCUCCAAUAUCUCUUCCAGACUAAGUCUCGAAAGGACAGUAAUUGAUCCACCCUGAGUCAUAUGCCCAUGUCCAAAGCAAUGAGUUUGGGAAAUUUCAUGACACACUCCUAAUUUUGUGGUAGGAGACACAUCAGAACCACACAAUGAGUCAGUCCUAUUUAUGAAAUAGAGGUUCAUCUAUCAGAUGAAAGGGAAAAAAGUUGUAAAAACAAAACAGAUGUUCACUAAUGGGGAUCUAUCUGAAUUUCACCUGUAACUACAAAUGCUCACAAGUAGAUUUACAGUUUUCCUAGAGUGUCAUGAAUUUAAAAACAUAUGCAUGGAAUCAUAAAGUAAUAUCCUAAUCACCUCUCACAACCUUUCUCUCCUUAACAUAAAAUGAGAAUAUUUUAGCAGCAGGAGAAGGAUUUUCAUUUAUAGACCUUUAUCAGACACUAAUGUAGGAUUGAGUUUGACCUGAUACAGUGUUCUAUCUCUGAGUGUUGUCACUCAGUUUUAUCAUAAAUAAAAUUUAUUUUAUAUGAUAUCAUAUAGAGAACAAAUUUACUUAUUUUUCUCAUGUAAUCAUGUAAUCAAUUGUUCCAACAUAAUCCAUUGAAUAGAUAUUGUGGCAUUUCCCUAAUUAUUUAUAAAGGCACUGUUACUAGAUAUGAAUAUUUAUAUAUGAGGAUAUGAAUCGUGGCUCUCUGAUUUGUUCAUUAUUUGCUUGUCUAUUCCUGUGCCAGUAUCAUACAAUUGGUACUAAUAUAGUGUUCUGAUAUUGACAGGAUGAAGUGCUCCUUCUAAUGAUGUAGCUUUAAAUUUGUCUUGGUUGUGCAUUUCUUUUUAUUCUUCCAUAGAGAUUUGUGGUUCAGUUGUCAGCUUUGAAAAUCACUUUUGGGAUUUGAAUUUGAAUUGCAUGAAAUUUGUAGACUAACUUGUAGAAAAUAGACAUUUUUAUGAUAUGAAUUUACACAUCCUUGUAACCAUGGGUGUGUUAUUUAUUUUCACUUUUGAAUAUUAUUGUGGGUAUUUAGUAAUAAAAAUAACAAUCGACGAGUUACAUGGUGGUUACUAUGUGACAGAUGUUGUCAAAGUUCCAUCCAUAUAUCAACUUAUUAUAUAUUCUUAUGGGAAGAGACCGUUAUUAUCUCCAUUACACAAGUAAGAAAAUCGAGGUACAAAGAGCUUAAGUAACAUGUGCUAAGUCAUAUAAGAGUAAAGCUUUAUUUGAAUCCAUGCAGUUUGUCUCCAGAGCUUGAAAUCCAUUUUAUUUUAUUUUAUUUUUGCUUUUUAAAAAAAAUUUUUUUGAGACGGAAUCUCGCUUUGUUGCCCAGGCUGGAGUGCAGUGGCACAAUCGCGGCUCAUUGCAACCUCCACCUCCUGGGUUCAAGCAAUUCUCCUGCCUCAGCCUCCCGAGUAGCUGGGACUACAGGUGGGCACCACCACGCCCAGCUAAUUUUUUGUAUUUUUAGUAGAGAAUGGGGUUUCACCAUGUUAGCCAGGAUGGUCUCGAUCUCAUGACCUCAUGUUCCACCUGCCUCGGUCUCCCAAAGUGCUGGGAUUACAGGCGUGAGCCACUGCAUCCAGCCUGAAAUAUUUACCAGUAUCUGAUAUUGCCUCACUAAGAACUUUGCCCAACUCCUUAGUGAUUCUACCAUUGGCUUAGUAUUUUGGAUUUUCUAGUAGACAAUAAUAUCGUGUGCAUAAAGCAAAUACAAUUAUUAUUACAAUAAAAUUUUUAAACUACUCAUUUGUACUUGCUUUCAUAAAGCCUUAGCUAAUUCCAACAAAAUAUUGAUUACUGUGGGAGAGAGUGGUAAAUCUUAUUUUGUACCUAAUAUUAAAUAAAAU
Long non-coding RNA from Homo sapiens (human), 2748 nucleotides. Ensembl annotates it as PCDH10 divergent transcript. Its record names the gene PCDH10-DT. Lineage: Eukaryota; Metazoa; Chordata; Mammalia; Primates; Hominidae. The record is from Ensembl.